UACGUAGGGUGCAAGCGUUACUCGGAGUUACUGGGCGUAAAGCGCGUGUAGGUGGUUUCGUAAGUCUGAUGUGAAAGCCCUGAACUCAAUUCAGGAAGUGCAUUGGAUACUGCGAGACUAGAGUAUGGGAGAGGAAGAUGGAAUUCCUGGUGUAGAGGUGAAAUUCGUAGAUAUCAGGAGGAACAACAGAGGCGAAGGCGAUUUUCUGGACCAUAACUGACACUGAGACGCGAAAGUGUGGGUAGCAAACAGG
RNAcentral lists this ribosomal RNA (253 nucleotides) under uncultured bacterium. Its description in RNAcentral is "partial 16S ribosomal RNA". It matches the Rfam family "Bacterial small subunit ribosomal RNA", at positions 524 to 776 of the family's 1533-position model. The record is from RNAcentral.